GUACUAACAGAAAAUUUUCUUCUCUGGGAGGCACGCUUUCAGUCUCAAUUCUCAAGCUCAAUUUUUGUGAAUUAAGGGAGGAAAAAGUGAACUGUUUCGUUAAACCCAGACCCAAUUUUCUUGAAUUUUGAUCUAAUGGCUUCCCGCAGGCGCAUGCUCUUAAAGGUCAUAAUUCUCGGUGAUAGUGGGGUUGGGAAGACCUCGUUGAUG
Molecule: unclassified non-coding RNA, 210 nt
Filed under: Hevea brasiliensis (rubber tree)
Lineage: Eukaryota; Viridiplantae; Streptophyta; Magnoliopsida; Malpighiales; Euphorbiaceae
Source: RNAcentral